UUAUGCGAUACUUGGUGUGAAUUGCAGAAUUCAGUGAAUCAUCGACGAUCUUUGAACGCACCUUGCGCCCUUUGGUAUUCCGAGGGGCAUGCCUGUUUGAGUGUCAUUAAAUACCAUCAACCCUCUUUUGACUUGGUCUCGAGAGUGGCUUGGAAGUGGAGGUCUGCUGGAGCCUAACGGAGCCAGCUCCUCUUAAAUGUAUUAGCGGAUUUCCCUUGCGGGAUCGGUCUCCGAUGUGAUAAUUUCUACGUCGUUGACCAUCUCGGGGCUGACCUAGUCAGUUUCAAUAGGAGUCUGCUUCCAACCGUCUCUUGACCGAGACUAGCGACUUGUGCGCUAACUUUUGACUUGACCUCAAAUCAUGUAGGUCUACCCGCUGAACUUAAGCAUAUCAAUAAGCGGAGGAA
This 407-nucleotide ribosomal RNA is filed under the name Schizophyllum sp. BAB-3666. RNAcentral's name for it is "eukaryotic LSU rRNA". The stretch from base 1 to 106 matches the Rfam family "5.8S ribosomal RNA", at positions 51 to 154 of the family's 154-position model. The record is from RNAcentral. Lineage: Eukaryota; Fungi; Basidiomycota; Agaricomycetes; Agaricales; Schizophyllaceae.